RNAcentral lists this ribosomal RNA (512 nucleotides) under uncultured bacterium. RNAcentral describes it as "partial 16S ribosomal RNA". It matches the Rfam family "Bacterial small subunit ribosomal RNA", at positions 28 to 507 of the family's 1533-position model. The record is from RNAcentral.
GAUGAACGCUGGCGGCGUGCCUAAUACAUGCAAGUCGAACGAAACUUCUUUAUCAUCGUGUGCUUGCACUCACCGAUACAGGGUUGAGUGGCGAACGGAUGAGUAACACGUGGGUAACCUGCCUAAAAGAGGGGGAUAACACUUCGAAACAGGUGCUAAUACCGCAUAACCAUAGUUACCGCAUGGUAACUGUGUAAAAGGUGGCUAUACUACCUCUGUUGGAUGGUCGUGCGGGGCAUUAGCUAGUUGGUAGGGUAAAGGCUUACUGAGGGAGUGAUGGGUAGCCGAAUGGUGUGGUGGAUCGGCGGCAUUGGGGCUGAGACACGGACCAAACUCCUACGGGAGGCAGCAGUAGGGUAUGUGCGACAGUAGGGGGAAACCUGGUGGAGCGACGCGGAGUGGGUGGAGGAAGUGUUCGGUGCGUGAUGCCCUGUUGUUGGUGGUGAAAGGGCGUGGGAGGAGAUGUUCACGGAUCGACGGUAUCUAGUAAGAAAGCCCCGGCUAACUACGUG